AAGUCGUAACAAGGUUUUCGUAGGUGAACCUGCGGAAGGAUCAUUAGUGAAUUAACUUGAAGGGAGUCCCUCUUAACCGGAGAAGGCCCUUUAAUCCACUAUUUCUUACACACUCGUGCAUUUGUCCCCUUUUUUACUUAAACCCUUUUGCAUUCGAAACGGUUGUUGUGAAUUCAAAUGUUAAUUGAAAGAAAAACUUUCAGCAAUGGAUCUCUUGGCUCUC
RNAcentral lists this unclassified non-coding RNA (223 nucleotides) under Kurtzmanomyces sp. RNAcentral's name for it is "partial internal transcribed spacer region". The stretch from base 1 to 46 matches the Rfam family "Eukaryotic small subunit ribosomal RNA", at positions 1786 to 1831 of the family's 1831-position model. Lineage: Eukaryota; Fungi; Basidiomycota; Agaricostilbomycetes; Agaricostilbales; Chionosphaeraceae. The record is from RNAcentral.